UCCGAGUUGACCCCGGCAGUCUCCCACGAGUCCCCGCCAUUACGCGCUGGCAACAUAGGAUAAGGGUUGCGCUCGUUGCGGGACUUAACCCAACAUCUCACGACACGAGCUGACGACAACCAUGCACCACCUGUGCACGACCCUUUAAAGGACCCCACAUCUCUGCGGGAUUUCCGUGCAUGUCAAGCCUAGGUAAGGUUCUUCGCGUUGCAUCGAAUUAAGCAACAUGCUCCGCCGCUUGUGCGGGCCCCCGUCAAUUCCUUUGAGUUUUAGCCUUGCGGCCGUAGUCCCCAGGCGGGGUGCUUACUGCGUUGGCGACGGCACCGGGGGGGUCGAUACCCCCGACACCUAGCACCCAUCGUUUACGGCGUGGACUAC
RNAcentral lists this unclassified non-coding RNA (378 nucleotides) under uncultured Actinomycetes bacterium. Its description in RNAcentral is "uncultured actinobacterium contains 16S-23S intergenic spacer region". Lineage: Bacteria; Bacillati; Actinomycetota; Actinomycetes. The record is from RNAcentral.